AGAGUUUGAUCAUGGCUCAGGAUGAACGCUAGCUACAGGCUUAACACAUGCAAGUCGAGGGGAAACGACAUCGAAAGCUUGCUUUUGAUGGGCGUCGACCGGCGCACGGGUGAGUAACGCGUAUCCAACCUGCCCAUCACUUGGGGAUAACCUUGCGAAAGUAAGACUAAUACCCAAUGACGUCUCUAGAAGACAUCUGAAAGAGAUUAAAGAUUUAUCGGUGAUGGAUGGGGAUGCGUCUGAUUAGCUUGUUGGCGGGGUAACGGCCCACCAAGGCGACGAUCAGUAGGGGUUCUGAGAGGAAGGUCCCCACAUUGGUACUGAGACACGGACCAAACUCCUACGGGAGCA
Molecule: ribosomal RNA, 351 nt
Filed under: uncultured bacterium
Lineage: Bacteria
Description: bacterial SSU rRNA
Rfam family: Bacterial small subunit ribosomal RNA
Source: RNAcentral